ACGCUCGACACCUACGGGAGCAGCAGUGGGGAAUAUUGCACAAUGGGGGAAACCCUGAUGCAGCGACGCCGCGUGGAGGAAGAAGGUCUUCGGAUUGUAAACUCCUGUUGUUGGGGAAAAAGAGGAUGGUACCCAACAAGGAAGUGACGGCUAACUACGUGACAGCAGCCGCGGUAAUCUGAGCGGGCUGGCAAGGC
Molecule: ribosomal RNA, 197 nt
Filed under: uncultured bacterium
Lineage: Bacteria
Description: partial 16S ribosomal RNA
Rfam family: Bacterial small subunit ribosomal RNA
Source: RNAcentral